This is a non-coding RNA of Capsicum annuum, 106 nucleotides long. NCBI's taxonomy places the organism in Eukaryota, Viridiplantae, Streptophyta, Magnoliopsida, Solanales, Solanaceae. The record is from Rfam.
ACCUCAUGAUUUGGGAAUUGGGAUCGCUUUCCAUUAAACCUCUCCCACGCUUCAAACCAUGGUUCUCUAUUAAAUUGCCAGAAGUUUAAAAUCUCAUCCUGCUUUU